RNAcentral lists this ribosomal RNA (462 nucleotides) under Globigerina bulloides. RNAcentral describes it as "bacterial SSU rRNA". It matches the Rfam family "Eukaryotic small subunit ribosomal RNA", at positions 1184 to 1458 of the family's 1831-position model. The record is from RNAcentral. Lineage: Eukaryota; Foraminifera; Rotaliida; Globigerinidae.
GGAGAUGUGGCUUAAUUUGACUCAACGCGGAAAAGCUUAUCUGGUCCGGACACAGUGAGGAUUGACAGACAGUUGGCAGGAGUGGUUCUUGGUAAAAACAAAUGAGAGAGUUGAAGUUCUUUCAUGAUCUUGUGAGAGGUGGUGCAUGGCCGUUCUUAGUUCGUGUAGUGAUAUGUCUGCCUAAUCGCGUCACGAUAACCUAUUGGUCGACAACCCAAUUAUCACAACUGCAGCAUAACUCCCCUUGGGUGGGCGAGGCUCUGUGUAGGAUAGACCUCUGAACAGUACGCAACGAACGCGAUCGUAAUCCCUUGUUGAGUGGCCAUCCUGUAAGCUGCUGGAUUUGAAACCCAGUGGUAUUAUCUCAGCCACAGAUUUUCUGGUUGUAAUGGGCCAGUUUUGAAACUCGGGGAACAUCUGUGACUUUCUUUCUUAACGCAGAGGAAGGUUAUGGCAAUAACA